This 818-nucleotide ribosomal RNA is filed under the name uncultured Actinomycetes bacterium. Its description in RNAcentral is "bacterial SSU rRNA". It matches the Rfam family "Bacterial small subunit ribosomal RNA", at positions 335 to 1167 of the family's 1533-position model. Lineage: Bacteria; Bacillati; Actinomycetota; Actinomycetes. The record is from RNAcentral.
ACUCCUACGGGAGGCAGCAGUGGGGAAUAUUGCACAAUGGGCGCAAGCCUGAUGCAGCGACGCCGCGUGAGGGAUGACGGCCUUCGGGUUGUAAACCUCUUUCAGUAGGGACGAAGCGCAAGUGACGGUACCUAUAGAAAAGGACCGGCCAACUACGUGCCAGCAGCCGCGGUAAUACGUAGGGUCCGAGCGUUGUCCGGAAUUACUGGGCGUAAAGAGCUCGUAGGUGGUUUGUCGCGUUGUUCGUGAAAACUCACAGCUCAACUGUGGGCGUGCGGUCGAUACGGGCAGACUGGAGUACUGCAGGGGAGACUGGAAUUCCUGGUGUAGCGGUGGAAUGCGCAGAUAUCAGGAGGAACACCGGUGGCGAAGGCGGAUCUCUGGGCAGUAACUGACGCUGAGGAGCGAAAGCGUGGGGAGCGAACAGGAUUAGAUACCCUGGUAGUCCACGCCGUAAACGGUGGGUACUAGGUGUGGGUUUCCUUCCUUGGGAUCCGUGCCGUAGCUAACGCAUUAAGUACCCCGCCUGGGGAGUACGGCCGCAAGGCUAAAACUCAAAGAAAUUGACGGGGGCCCGCACAAGCGGCGGAGCAUGUGGAUUAAUUCGAUGCAACGCGAAGAACCUUACCUGGGUUUGACAUGCACAGGACGUGCCUAGAGAUAGGUAUUCCUUGUGGCCUGUNUGCAGGUGGUGCAUGGCUGUCGUCAGCUCGUGUCGUGAGAUGUUGGGUUAAGUCCCGCAACGAGCGCAACCCNUAUNUUAUGUUGCCAGCGCGUUAUGGCGGGGACUCGUAAGAGACUGCCGGGGUCAACUCGGA